CUCUCGGUAGCCAAGUUGGUUUAAGGCGCAAGACUGUAAUUUACUACUACGAAAUCUUGAGAUCGGGCGUUCGACUCGCCCCCGGGAGA
RNAcentral lists this transfer RNA (89 nucleotides) under Saccharomyces cerevisiae (brewer's yeast). It matches the Rfam family "tRNA". Rfam says of the family: Transfer RNA (tRNA) molecules are approximately 80 nucleotides in length. Their secondary structure includes four short double-helical elements and three loops (D, anti-codon, and T loops). The record is from RNAcentral. Lineage: Eukaryota; Fungi; Ascomycota; Saccharomycetes; Saccharomycetales; Saccharomycetaceae.